Molecule: long non-coding RNA, 799 nt
Organism: Onychostoma macrolepis
Lineage: Eukaryota; Metazoa; Chordata; Actinopteri; Cypriniformes; Cyprinidae
Exons: 3
Source: RefSeq, a predicted model, not a curated record
CAGAAGCCCUUCUGUUGUUGUAAUGUGCAUCUUCUCACUAUAUAAAAAUCCCCCUGAAGCUCAGACGCACAACAUUAGAUCUCAGAGUUGUGAUGGAUGUUUCUUCUCUUCAGCUCAACACAAGAUAGAUUAUGAGUAUAGAAAUGAAAUAACAGAGAGAGGAAACUGCUGGAGCAUCAGAACCAGAUGAGAAAAAACAACAGGACAGAGAGAGAAAUGGAGGCCAGAAAUGAGACACAAACCAGUGAAACACAAGAGAAAAACAGACGGACGCUUGUUAGAUGUAACAGUAUGGAGGGAAUAAAACCACACUUCUCUCGUGAUCCAGACGGACCUGUAAACUUUAAUUCUGGAGAAACUUCAGCAUGUUCUGAAGAACACACAACAUCCCUGAGACAGCAGCAGCUGAAGACAACACCAUCAUGAUCACAGACUCCAUCCAUCCACACUACAGUCUGCUCAGAUCUCCUCUUUCAUCUGUUCAUCCUCAUUAUUCAUCUCUGCCUCAUUUGGUUCUUCAAACAAGUUAACGGAUUUGAUUCAGAUAUCUGGAUGAAGUUGUCUGAGAUUACUGUGAACUCACAGCUCAGACGAAUUUUACAUAAUGUGUGUUUGACUGCAAUUAAAUCAUGAGAUAAUUAUUCCGUCACUAAUAAACCUUUCAAGGAGUAAAAUUGGUUGCAUCUAUUAUUAUAGAUUAUACAACAUUUUAAUUAUUUUCAAAAUCAUUUUUAAAUUAUUAUCUUUCAAAAUUAUUUUUCUGGUUGAAUAAGAAGAGUUCAGAUGCAAAAGCCUCUAA